GGGCGAGUGAUGGAAUGGCAGACAUGCACGACUCAAAAUCGUGUGCCGUAAGGCAUGAGGGUUCGACUCCCUCCUCGCCCA
Molecule: transfer RNA, 81 nt
Filed under: Patescibacteria group bacterium
Lineage: Bacteria
Description: tRNA-Leu
Rfam family: tRNA
About the family: Transfer RNA (tRNA) molecules are approximately 80 nucleotides in length. Their secondary structure includes four short double-helical elements and three loops (D, anti-codon, and T loops).
Source: RNAcentral